UAGGGUCUGAUCGCUGCCUGAGACACCAUAUCGGUACUCCUCAGAGUUGGUUGUAAUUGCAGUGGAAGGGGAGACCAAACAUUCAAAGAUUGCUGAAGAGCCAACGAACUCUGAUUCUGUCAAGAUGAUGUCUUUGAUUUCUUUCACAAACUUCAGUGGCACAGCCUUUAGCUGGUCUUUUUCUUAGAACUUUAAAGACAAAAAGGUUUAUAUGUAAACCAAGACAAACUAAUGAAGAUGUUGAAUAAGCUUGACAAAUGCAAAUAAUGUACAAAGCAAGGAAAAUGAAAAAAAGCAUGCUACCUAGCACUCUGGAAAUUUAGGAAAAUGCAAGAAGACAUAUGUAGAUGAGACAAAGAUAGACCAUGUCUAUACAUGUAUGAAAUGGAUGGGAGACAAAGGAAGCAACACUCAAUGAGCCAGGACCAUAAAAGCCACAGAAAUAUAAGAAAUGAAUGGGACUACUCUCUGAUCAUUGAAAAAGAGAGACAGAACAUUCGAUGGAGGCAGAAAGAGCGAGGAGUCAGCAGCAGGCAUGGCAUGACAAGCAACCCAGGAACCAUGGGGCAGCAGAAGACACAGCUCUAUGCAAUCUCACAGUACAAUCAUGUCUGAAAGUACACACUUCUAAAAGUCAUACAUUUCUUGCAAGCAUCAUUUCAG
This 663-nucleotide non-coding RNA is filed under the name Pan troglodytes (chimpanzee). Lineage: Eukaryota; Metazoa; Chordata; Mammalia; Primates; Hominidae. The record is from RNAcentral.